This 260-nucleotide ribosomal RNA is filed under the name Rhizobium leguminosarum. Its description in RNAcentral is "partial 16S ribosomal RNA". It matches the Rfam family "Bacterial small subunit ribosomal RNA", at positions 46 to 334 of the family's 1533-position model. The record is from RNAcentral. Lineage: Bacteria; Pseudomonadati; Pseudomonadota; Alphaproteobacteria; Hyphomicrobiales; Rhizobiaceae. RNAcentral also lists the same sequence under 1 other name.
AGGCUUAACACAUGCAAGUCGAGCGCCCCGCAAGGGGAGCGGCAGACGGGUGAGUAACGCGUGGGAAUCUACCUUUUGCUACGGAAUAACGCAGGGAAACUUGUGCUAAUACCGUAUGUGUCCUUCGGGAGAAAGAUUUAUCGGCAAGAGAUGAGCCCGCGUUGGAUUAGCUAGUUGGUGGGGUAAAGGCCUACCAAGGCGACGAUCCAUAGCUGGUCUGAGAGGAUGAUCAGCCACAUUGGGACUGAGACACGGCCCAA